CGCGGUUCUCCUGGGUGAGCUGGUCCAACUGGCCCUCCAGCUCUUCGAUGCGCCGCCGCUGGGUCUCCAACAGCUGCUGCUGACUCUCAAUGAUGUUGUUCAGCUCCAGCAGCUCUGUGAUCUUACAGCCCACCCAGUCGGUAGUUCCCCAUCCCAGGCAGCCCCUGGAAUUCUAUUUCCACCAGCAGCAGCAGCACCACCACCACCAUCACCAUCACCACACACGGAAGUUCACAGGAUUUAGAAUCAUCACAACAGAAACAAAUCUAUGGGAAUGCUUGUGAGGGAUCAUCUAGAUUAUUUCAACUGUGGAAGGAAGAAUCACCCAUGGACUGUCUAAAGAUGAGAAGGUUAACUGAGCAGAAGUGUGAAUCUCUCUCUGCUUUCUGAUUGUGGAUACAAUAUGUCCAGAUGUUUUGAGCUCCUGCUGACUUGACUUCCCUGCAAUGAUGGACUUGUACCCUUAAAACUGUGAGCCGAAGUGUAAUUUCCCUCUUAAACUGCUCUCAUCAGAGAUUACUGCAACAGAAAAAAAGUAACUAAUAUAUAAAAUUGUUAUGAAAAA
This is a long non-coding RNA of Mesocricetus auratus (golden hamster), 565 nucleotides long. RefSeq lists it as uncharacterized. Lineage: Eukaryota; Metazoa; Chordata; Mammalia; Rodentia; Cricetidae. The record is from RefSeq and is a predicted model, not a curated record. The transcript is spliced from 3 exons.